Molecule: ribosomal RNA, 468 nt
Filed under: uncultured bacterium
Lineage: Bacteria
Description: partial 16S ribosomal RNA
Rfam family: Bacterial small subunit ribosomal RNA
Source: RNAcentral
GACGAACGCUGGCGGCGUGCUUAACACAUGCAAGUCGAACGGAAAGGCCCUGCUUUUGUGGGGUGCUCGAGUGGCGAACGGGUGAGUAACACGUGAGUUACCUGCCCUUGACUUUGGGAUAACUUCAGGAAACUGGGGCUAAUACCGGAUAGGAGCUCCUGCUGCAUGGUGGGGGUUGGAAAGUUUCGGCGGUUGGGGAUGGACUCGCGGCUUAUCAGCUUGUUGGUGGGGUAGUGGCUUACCAAGGCUUUGACGGGUAGCCGGCCUGAGAGGGUGACCGGCCACAUUGGGACUGGAAUACGGCCCAGACUCCUACGGGAGGCAGCAGUGGGGAAUAUUGCACAGUGGGCGGAAGCCUGAUGCAGCAACGCCGCGUGCGGGAAGACGGCCUUCGGGUAGUAAACCGCUUUCGCCUGUGACGAAGCGUGAGUGACGGUAAUGGGUAAAGAAGCACCGGCUAACUACGUG